This 208-nucleotide unclassified non-coding RNA is filed under the name uncultured Sebacinales. Its description in RNAcentral is "sequence contains ITS2". RNAcentral also lists the same sequence under 1 other name. Lineage: Eukaryota; Fungi; Basidiomycota; Agaricomycetes; Sebacinales. The record is from RNAcentral.
UAAUCUCACUCCGACGACUUUGUUGUUGUCUGGAGGUGGACUUGGACUCUGCUGUGUCACAACGGCUGGUCUGAAAUGCAUGAGUGCACCCUGCUGUAGCAGCGUCUUCAGUGUGAUAAGUAUCUUCACUGAUUCAAGCUCCCCUUGUGGGACACGCUCGUCUGGUGGGCUCUGCGCUUCCAACCGUCUGCAUGGACAACUCUUGACA